This is a long non-coding RNA of Aethalodelphis obliquidens (Pacific white-sided dolphin), 901 nucleotides long. RefSeq lists it as uncharacterized. Lineage: Eukaryota; Metazoa; Chordata; Mammalia; Artiodactyla; Delphinidae. The transcript has 2 exons. The record is from RefSeq and is a predicted model, not a curated record.
CCCGUCACUCCCCAUGGCUCUUCUUCACUGCUCUUACCCCAUCCGAAUUCUUUUCCUUGUUUGGGGGGCUGUUUACUGUCUGUCUCCUUCGGCAGGAUAUAAGCUCAUUGUGAGCAUCUCUGGGACCCCAGGGCCUGGAACAGAGCCUGACACAGAGGGGCUUCUUCACAGGUCUCUGGUGAACACGUGGAUAACGCGCAAACCACUGAUUUCCGCGGUAAGAGACGGCAAGUCAGGAGGCGGCAGUACCCUGCGAGGAGAGUGGGGUUAUGGAGCUGAUCUGAGAUGAGGACCCAGAAGGCUGCUCAAGGGGCAGAGCCCAGGAAACAGGAGGAUCUACAGGACCCUGGGAAGGGGGAAGAUCAGAAACAGGGAAGGAAUCAUCCAAUUAAAGGAGUGUAUGGUAGAGCUUUCCACCGUAUACUGAGAAGGUCUACAUGACUCAGUGAACCAGCAUUUUCCAAAUGAUGGAUGCAGAAUGAUACAAAAUCAUGCAAGGACAAAAGACCCGUUCCAAGUGCCAAACAGACCAGUACAUUUUCACGUAACAGAGUAAGAAACAUUCAUUUUUAGAUUCUACGUUGCAAUUCAUCUUUAAGAAACUACUAUUUGUUGGAUUUUGGCAUAGUAUCAAAGAAGGAUGUCCACAAUUAUGUGAGAAGGAUAUUAAGAUACUCCACACUGUUCCGACUACAUAUCUAUGUGAGGCCAGAGUUUUGCCAAUCCUUCAACCAAAACAACAUAUUGCAACAGACUGAAUACAAAAGGCGCUGUGGGAACCCAGCUGUCUUCUGCUAAGGACAUUAAAGAGAUUUGCAAAAGUGUAAAACAAUGCCACUCUUUUCACUAGAUAUUUUGUUUGGGAAAGUAAAAUUAUUUUUCAUAAAAACAUUUAUGUUAA